GGCAAUGAUGGCGAAGAGGUCACACCCGUACCCAUUCCGAACACGGAAGUUAAGUUCUUCAGCGCCGAUGGUAGUUGGGGGUUUCCCCCUGUGAGAGUAGGACGUUGCCAG
RNAcentral lists this ribosomal RNA (111 nucleotides) under Peribacillus simplex. The record is from RNAcentral. Lineage: Bacteria; Bacillati; Bacillota; Bacilli; Caryophanales; Bacillaceae.